AGGUUAUCGAGGUAGAGGUUGACGGGGUGAAGCAGAGGAGUGGAUUGCUCAUAAAGAAAUGCAGGUACUUGGAGAACAGCGGGCGCGUUGGGAUGUGCGUCAACAUGUGAAAGAUCCCCACACAGAGCUUCUUCACCGACGAGUUCGGCCUUCCCCUCACCAUGAAUCCAAACUUUGAAGACAUGAGAUGCGAAAUGAUAUAUGGUC
Long non-coding RNA from Triticum dicoccoides, 207 nucleotides. RefSeq lists it as uncharacterized. Lineage: Eukaryota; Viridiplantae; Streptophyta; Magnoliopsida; Poales; Poaceae. The transcript has 3 exons. The record is from RefSeq and is a predicted model, not a curated record.